This 339-nucleotide long non-coding RNA is filed under the name Papio anubis (olive baboon). RNAcentral's name for it is "lncRNA (ENSPANG00000040710.1)". Lineage: Eukaryota; Metazoa; Chordata; Mammalia; Primates; Cercopithecidae. The record is from RNAcentral.
GUGGGACAGAAUCACAGCAAAAUACCUGUGCUUUGCCUUGGACAGAUCCAGGGAAGCAGGAACCAUCACGCCUGAGUCAGGAACUGCCUAAUUGGAUAGAGUUGAAGAGCAGAGCGACUCUGAAGUGACUGUGUUAUUGCAGCAUCUGCGCUGCCAGCAGGGCCAACCCAGAAAGAUACCCGAAGCACACACAGCAGAGUCCUCUGGACUUCGAGGAGGAACCCACAGCAGGAGGAGGCUGUGGAAACCUGGGACCACUUCUACCUUCCUACGUGGCAGUGGCUCAGAGUUAUUUGAGUGCUGUCAAACUAAGCUGAUUGCUGCCCUAGUAUUAGAUCA